Molecule: long non-coding RNA, 759 nt
Organism: Coregonus clupeaformis (lake whitefish)
Lineage: Eukaryota; Metazoa; Chordata; Actinopteri; Salmoniformes; Salmonidae
Exons: 3
Source: RefSeq, a predicted model, not a curated record
UCUCUCACUUACUUCCCACAUCCUCUCGCUCUCUCCCCAGCUCUUUCUCUCCCUCGUCUACACCUCUCAUCUCGUUUUUGUCUGUCACCUCUUCCUCCCUUGUUUCCUCUCCUUCUCAAAACACCUCCACCAACCACGUUGAAAGCCCUGUCGGAGCAAUACCUACGGCGCUCCUCAUCACUCUACCCUUGCUGGCUGCGGCAGUUGCAGUGUGCUACUACAAAACGACCAGGGGUGUUUUCCCAGUCCAAUUAUGGCGCAGAGGACAGCACAACUUGAAGCAUGACAUAGAGACUGAGAUGUGGAGACACACGGACAGUGAGAUGGAUCUGCAGGACCCACAACAGAGAAAAGGAGGAGAGGAGAAUGGAGACAGGAAGUCCACCAGUGACAUCAUCAUCAGUAAUCUAGAGACCACAACAAAUGGCCCUUAGUAGCAAUAGACGGCCAUGUUGAGGGGGAUUUACAGUGCUGAAAAAGACAUUAGCAAAAUAUAUAAUUGACUAACAGAAACUGCAGAAAUAAGUAUUAGGAACUGUAGACAUAAGAGAGGUCUGCAGAGGUUUUUUUCAGAAAAUGUUUCUGAUAAUUCAAUGUAUUUUUUUUAAAUAAACGAUUGUAAACAAUCAAACGAAAAUGUUUUCCUUUGCCUAGAUUCCCUGUCAUCUAUUUAUUUCCGUUUUAUUUUUUAUUAAUUCAUUUGAUUUGUCUGUCCAACUUGCAUUUUUUACAGUUUCAAGUCACAUUUUGUUUUAUGAG